UCCCUGCACUCAGGCAUUGUAGUAGAAACAUGUUGUUGCUCCCUUCAGCCACAAGAGGGAGUAUACCCUUAAAUGAGCGCUUCUGUCAGGAGUAAACAGAGUCAGCACGUACAUUGAAUGGUAGUGCCAAGAGCAAACGCUGGACAGAAAUGUGUUGACAAUGUACGCGAUGUCUGUGUAUUUUGCAGGAGGCCUCUGUUGUGUGGUCACAAGUGGGAUGAGACAUGGCCCAUGGGUGACAGCUGACCAAAGUGGCUAAUUUUCAUGUCCUUUCCAAAAGCACCGUUGGGAGGACAACGAAAAUCAAAUGUCCUCCAGGGUCUCGCAGGGACGGUCAAUGAUGUCCUCUGACUCACUCACAGGGUGUUUGUGAAGGACACAAGAGACCCUGGAGCCUCUGGGCUUCCCAGCCCACCUUGUUUUGGGCCUAAAAACAUGUCUUGCGAGUAGAGCUCAUCUAGUGAUCCAAAAAAAGGGAGACUCCAUCAGCAAAGGUGCUGGGAACAGCAGCCAUUGCGCCGUCCAGGAAUUCUACAACCGUAUAUUUUUUAUCAGUCAUUUCUACAAAGGAAAGGAAGGAAAGGUAAGCAUUAUAAAGUAGAGUGCUAUAUUGCGUUGUUGAGCAUGAUGGCCCGUUCAUUUGAAAGUCCACUCACCACGUCAAGGUACAGGCAGACAUAAACUAUACAUUACACAAGGACAUAGAAAUGGCAGGGUUAUUGACUGUUUCAGGUUAAAUUCAGCAUUAGGUUGGGUUAGAUUGAACAAAACGAUGUGAAAGAACAUUACCGACAAUGACACUGUCCUGUACACUGUCGUUUGACUCCAUGACUGUCCUGUAUACUGUCCUGUGACUCCA
This is a long non-coding RNA of Perca flavescens (yellow perch), 859 nucleotides long. RefSeq lists it as uncharacterized. The record is from RefSeq and is a predicted model, not a curated record. Lineage: Eukaryota; Metazoa; Chordata; Actinopteri; Perciformes; Percidae. The transcript has 5 exons.